Molecule: ribosomal RNA, 497 nt
Filed under: uncultured bacterium
Lineage: Bacteria
Description: partial 16S ribosomal RNA
Rfam family: Bacterial small subunit ribosomal RNA
Source: RNAcentral
GAUGAACGCUGGCGGCGUGCCUAAUACAUGCAAGUCGAGCGAACAGACGAGGAGCUUGCUCCUCUGACGUUAGCGGCGGACGGGUGAGUAACACGUGGAUAACCUACCUAUAAGACUGGGAUAACUUCGUGAAACCGGAGCUAAUACCGGAUAACAUGUUGAACCGCAUGGUUCAACAGUGAAAGACGGUUUUGCUGUCACUUAUAGAUGGAUCCGCGUCGCAUUAGCUAGUUGGUAAGGUAACGGCUUACCAAGGCAACGAUGCGUAGCCGACCUGAGAGGGUGAUCGGCCACACUGGAACUGAGACACGGUCCAGACUCCUACGGGAGGCAGCAGUAGGGAAUCUUCCGCAAUGGGCGAAAGCCUGACGGAGCAACGCCGCGUGAGUGAAGAAGGUCUUCGGAUCGUAAAACUCUGUUAUUAGGGAAGAACAAAUGUGUAAGUAACUAUGCACGUCUUGACGGUACCUAAUCAGAAAGCCACGGCUAACUACGUG